This 73-nucleotide transfer RNA is filed under the name Dreissena polymorpha. RNAcentral's name for it is "transfer RNA isoleucine (anticodon AAU)". It matches the Rfam family "tRNA". From Rfam's summary of the family: Transfer RNA (tRNA) molecules are approximately 80 nucleotides in length. Their secondary structure includes four short double-helical elements and three loops (D, anti-codon, and T loops). Lineage: Eukaryota; Metazoa; Mollusca; Bivalvia; Myida; Dreissenidae. The record is from Rfam by way of RNAcentral.
GGCCGGUUAGAUCAGUUGGUUAGAGCAUCGUGCUAAUAACGCGAGGUCAUGGGUUUGAUCCCCCUACUGGCCA